Molecule: unclassified non-coding RNA, 334 nt
Filed under: soil metagenome
Description: partial contains 5.8S ribosomal RNA, internal transcribed spacer 2, and large subunit ribosomal RNA
Rfam family: 5.8S ribosomal RNA (bases 1-120)
Source: RNAcentral
GAUGAAGAACGCAGCGAAAUGCGAUAAGUAAUGUGAAUUGCAGAAUUCAGUGAAUCAUCGAAUCUUUGAACGCACAUUGCGCCCGCCAGUAUUCUGGCGGGCAUGCCUGUUCGAGCGUCAUUUCAACCAUCAAGCCCUGCUUGCGUUGGGGUCCUGCGGCUGCCCGCAGGCCCUGAAAACCAGUGGCGGGCUCGCUAGUCACACCGAGCGCAGUAAUACAUCUCGCUUUGGGCGUGCGGCGGGUUCUUGCCGUUAAACACCCCCUUUUUACCAAGGUUGACCUCGGAUCAGGUAGGAAUACCCACUGAACUUAAGCAUAUCAAUAAGCGGAGGA